Molecule: ribosomal RNA, 253 nt
Filed under: uncultured bacterium
Lineage: Bacteria
Description: partial 16S ribosomal RNA
Rfam family: Bacterial small subunit ribosomal RNA
Source: RNAcentral
UACGGGGGGAGCAAGCGUUGUUCGGAUUUACUGGGCGUAAAGGGCGCGUAGGCGGUCGUGACAAGUCACUUGUGAAAUCUCCGGGCUUAACUCGGAAAGGUCAACUGAUACUGUGCGGCUAGAGUGCGGAAGGGCAACUGGAAUUCUUGGUGUAGCGGUGAAAUGCGUAGAUAUCAAGAGGAACACCUGCGGCGAAGGCGGGUUGCUGGCCGACACUGACGCUGGAGGCGCGAAAGCCAGGGGAGCGAACGGG